RNAcentral lists this unclassified non-coding RNA (23 nucleotides) under Mus musculus (house mouse). Its description in RNAcentral is "oocyte_clustered_small_RNA1556". The record is from RNAcentral. Lineage: Eukaryota; Metazoa; Chordata; Mammalia; Rodentia; Muridae.
AGAGGUGGGUCUAUUCUAUACAA